UAAAUAUUAUAUUUCAUUUUUGGCUAUAAAAAGCCAUUGUAAAUAUUGAUUUUGAGGAUACACGGAUUGAAAAAAAAACAAUUAGAAUUGAAAAGGUGAUUCAAGUUUUCAGUUUUUUUUUUGUUUUCAGAUUUCGUUUUUUUAAUAUUUUUUCUCUUCUAUUCUUUUCUCUCAUAUUUCACAUGAAGAGAAUAAAGGAAAAGAGUACUUGCCUUUGGCCUUUGAUCGCAUCUCUUUUGCUCAUGGUCGGCCACCAAGUUUGAUGGUGGUUCAGCAGUGACUUUGAGAGCCCUAACAUUAGAGAUUUGAUUUGCUGUUUGCAAAAAUGGCAGUGCCAUUCAUUUUUUUUUCUUUAAUUUUGAUUGCAAAGAAACAACACCGUUUCAAGGGGAAAUGUUUGGUUAUUUGCUGCAGAUGGUUAAUUUAUGCGAUUAAUCCCUCCCCUUCGCGUUGAUUUUCAAUUGGAUCCUAUUUGUGUUUUAUUUGUUUUUUAAAUUUUUCCUAAAAUCUGUGUGCUAUUUUAAUUUAGCCCGCGUUUAAGCUUUAUGUUUUCGGACCAGGAUUAUUCCCAACUUUAGUCCCUUAGCAUUUACGCGCAUUAUGCAUUAGCCCUCUGUUUAAUUUCAAAAUUUAUAAAUUAUCCCCUUUCAUUUUAAAUUUAUUUCAAUUAGGAUUUUUGUUUAUAUGAUUUAUUAUUUUUGAGGAGACUCAUUUAAUAUAUUUUUUAUGUGUCAGAAUUGUUUUAAUAAUUUUUAUUUUUGUUUAAAUAAAUCUUUGUUUUGAAAUCUUUAUACUAUUUUACAGUACGUAUAGAAUUUGAUUUAAAUAUUCAUGUUGAGCUUUCUAUUUGAAAUGCUUAUUAUUUUAAAAUUUACUUAAUAUUCUUAUAUAUGUGUUAAUUUAAAAAAAAAGAAAUAAUUUUGUUUUAUUUUUAUUUGUACAGUUAUUUUGGAGUUGAUUUUAUUAUAUUAUUUUUAACAUUUUUUUAUAAUUUUUCGACUAAAUAUUUCCGGAUAUGUUUGUACAUAUAUUAUUUUAAUGGGCUUUUUUUUAUUUUAAAAUACUUAUUGUUUUAAAAUUCAUUAAAUUAUGUGUGUAAAGUUACUUGGGAGCUGCAUUUUUUUUUGUGUUAAUAAAAUUAUUAUUUUGAAAUUCCUCAUUAUGUCAUAUUAUUUUAAUAUAUUAUGUAGUAUCUUAUUUUAAGUGUUUUUAUGUAUAACGGUACGUAUAUAAUUUAUAGAUUAACUUAAUUUUAUAUAUAUUAUUAAUCUCAUGCUAUUUUUUACAAACAAUUAUUCCUAAAUCUAUUUAUGUAUGCAUGUUUUUUUAAUCACUAUACCUUAUCAUGUAUUUUUAUUAUUCUUUCAUAUUUUAUAUAUUAUUUAAGUUAUCAUGUACAUAGUCAAUUUUUGAAUGAAUUUGUGUUUAAAAUAGUUUGCAUAUAAUUCAAUUCAAACUUUUAUUCUAUAAUAUCUAUUUCAAUAAUUAUAUAUCCCUAGUCUUUGUGCAAAUUUGUCAACUUAUCUAUUAUAUAUAUUAUGUAUUCAUUAAUUCAUCAUUAUUUUGAAAAUGUCUUAUACCACAAUUGACUUCUAAUUUCCAUUUUAUUUUGUACAUGUUUUGUGGAUCGUUUCAUAUUGUGCCAUAUUUAUUGUUGUUGUAUAUUAUUUAGUCAUUGUUUUAUCAAUUUUUCUCCAUCCAUUAUUAAGAAUUUGGUUACAUUUCACUUAGAAUAAUUGUACUUAAUUGUUGGAUUUAUUAGUUGUGAUUUAUUGUACUUUAUGUGUGCACAUUAUUUCGUGUUUAUUCAUUUCUUUUUACGAAUGUUUUCUUGUAAUACCUCAAAUGUUCCAUCUCAUUUUAAAACAAAUAAAUGUGUUUUGAGCGAAUUUUCAAUUUUCCUUAUUAUUCAAAAAUUCUGAAAUAAGGCAAUAUCCAAUAUUUGGGUAUUUGAGAAAUCGUGCUCAAUCGUGCUGGGUAUGAUUUUUUCGGUGAACUAAAUAUUUGGAUAACCUUUUAUAAUUUUAGUGUACGAGUUUUUGAAAGUCAAAAGUCGAUCGUAUUUUUGAAGGUAUAAAGGAUCGUAUCCAAUCAUGCUGGGUAUGAUGCUGCAUAUCUUUGAAAUGAGAGAAUUUUGACAGUUAACUUGAACUAUUCACACAUUUUAAAGAAUCAUGCUUUGAAAGAUCUUUUUUCUUAAAAUCUUUGAUAUAAGGAUAGCAUCGAAUCAAUUUGGUACCAAUUUUUGGGCGUAAUGAGGCUGCUUAUCCUUCCUCAUGAAUAACCGACUCCCGAACCCAUUUGUUUUUUAUUUUACGUGAACCAAAAUUGUCUUUAAUGGAACAAAACAUUUUAAUAGGUGGCCCAAUCACACCUAAACCGACAGACUGGUGGCGACUCCACAUUUUUGUUUUAAAAAGUCGAUUCUCAUUUUUCCUAACUCUAAAAAAGGGGUUCGACAGCUUGGCGACUCCACUGGGGAUUGAACAAAGAGGGUCAGGCCAUAAAAUUGAUUAUUUGUUUUCCUUUUGUCAAAGAAUUGAAAUUUUGUCUUGAAAAUCAUGAUUCUUUUAAUUGCAUUUGUUUGCAUGAUUAUUGUGGUUCGAGUCUUGUAAAAUAAUAUGACAUUACAUUGCAUGACCUCUGUGGUUAUACCUGUUAAGUGGGAGUAAGAAACUAUGCUUUUGUGAGGUUUUCACCUCCGCAUGAGCUAGUGGAUUGCUUCCGGGAUACAUCCGUACCUAUGAUUUCGUAAGGUUUUUAUCUCUGCAUGGUCAUAGGGAAAUGUAUUCCCCUGAACCGAACUCGAUUCAUAUGAGCCUAUAAUGGGUAAGAAUUGAGGAAUCUGCUAGUUCAGGUACCCUUUCUCUAAAACCAAACCACAUAUAGUGAAUCUUGAGAAUCCACCUUAAGUAGAACCUUGCCCAAAUUUAGUGGUCACCCAAAUAGGUACUUUAUUUGAUAUUUAUUUCACUUGUACUAACGUGUUUUGUUUUUUUUUUGUUUAUAACUGCAUUGCAUUACAUCAUCAUAGAAAGCAGGUGUUGAUUCAUAUUUGAUUGCUAAAUAGAAUAGUUUGUCAUAAGAAAAUGAAUUUCCUGAUAAAGUGGAUUAUAAUACGGUUGUCUAAAUAGACGGAAGAAGGCUGACAGUUCGUGGAGAAAAACAAGUCUCUACUUGAAGAUUCAAGCUGAUAAAGAUUGUUUGAAAGCCGUCGCGUCUCGAUUUUCUUAACAGAGCUAAUCAAUGUCAUGAGGAUAAUAAGUCGUGGCCUGGAUCAAGCAAAGAAGGGCUAGUGGAGGCAUUUAUUGGAGGCUUGCGAGAUUUGGAUUUCACGAAGAAAAGGGAUUGGUGUUUUCACCUGGAAUAUGAAAGCAAUGCCGUAUAUGUAAUCUGUUUUAUGUAAAGGAAUUUGUUUUCUAGAAAAGUUGUUCUAAUGGAAUUAAAUUCAAAAUCAACACCUCUCUUUCUUUUGCAUUCAUCCCAUGCAUUUGCAUUGCAUUGCAUCAUUUCAUCAUUUGCAUUAAAUUUUCAUAAAAGGGGUCCCUAAUUAGUUGAAAUCAUUUCAGUUAAUCUGGGAACCAAUAAAAACUUACCAAUCAAGCGUCGUUACGGUACCUGUGCUAAGACAAAAGAUAUGGAUCAAAGGUUGAAAAGACUUGAACAACUUCAAAGAGAGAUGCAAGACCAGUUACAAAUACAGAUGCAAGAGCAAGUGGCGAAGAUUAGGCAAGAUAUGAGGGAUCUGGUGCUAGAGUCUCAAAGGAAUAUGUUGAACCAGUUGUCUCAAUUGCUGACAAAGGGGCUUGAAGAAAGGAAAAGUUUCAUGAUCAAUAUUGGGAAGGACAAUGAGGAGCCUCUCUAUUCUCCGGGUUUCACCCCGAUAAAUACUCAGCCGCAAGGUGUACCUAUUGUCAAAAUUCAGCAAUAUCAGGCCGGUACCUCUGCACUGGUAGAUUACCCGACAGGCUCAGACUCCAAGCCGGGGGGCAACCCAACCAAUCUUGAAGUUCUUGAUUUAGAUGAAAUGGAAAAAGCAGAGAGGGAAUUGCCAAGACAACUUGAGGAUCGGUAUAGGUGGUUGGAGGAAAAAUUGAAAGCAAUGGAGAAUGUUGACCUCUACUAUGGGAUUGAUGCUAAGGAUCUGAGUUUGGUUCCCGAUCUAGUACUCCCACCAAAAUUUAAAACUCCAGAGUUUGAAAAGUACAAUGGUGUAAUACCCCCUACCCGUAUUCAUUGCCGGAAUACGGUACGAGGUAUUACCGGAGUUUACGAAUUUAUUUAUUUAUUUUUUUAGGAAAACUCAAUAUAAUCCCUUUACAGAUAUCUAACCUUCCCUGCAAUAUUAUAUCGAGACCAAUCCAAAUCAACCAAUCCAAUUCAACAUAUUUUCAAGAUAAAUUCAUGCAUAUUUAUAAAAUAACGUCAUCACAUACCCAAAACCAGGUUUGUUAACCAUACCAAUGGCUAACUCUACAUUCAUUUCACAGAAUCAUUUACUUUAUUAGCUUAUACAUGCCACUGAUUUGCAAAAUAAAGUUUCUUUAUAUACCGAAGUCCUGAGGUUGAUAGUGUGAUGUGUCUCUGACCAAAUCCGACCUCCGAGCUCUUAACACCACAAAACAGGGAAAAAGGAAACGGGGUAAGCACUUUGUGCUUAGUAAGCUCAUGUAACAAGAAUUAUACUUACCUAAUAUUUUCAAUACAAUACAAUAAACAUUCCUAUAUCCAUUCAAUCCAUUAUUAUCCUAAUAUGCACAAUCCAACAUUCAAGUUAGUACAAUAAUUUCCAUGUACCAAUAAUAUAUACUAUGAUUGAUGUGCUCAUCAAUACCAUGAUUUCCAUUUCCUUGUUAUUUUUCCAUAUUUAUCCCAUUGAAUUUCUUGGAAUUUUCGAUGGAUUUUCAGAGAUACACUUUUAGUGUACAUUUCCGGGUCCGUUAAUUCAUAUUCAUGUGCGCACAUAUCCAUUUCAGAGAGCACACUCCUGCGAACCUCAACCGUGCAGCGGGAUUACCAGUCCAGGCUAAAUCCCCUGCAAUAUAAACUCAUAGAGUGUUGUCGGGAUUACCAGUCCAGUCUAAAUCCCCUGCAACGACAAUUACUCUAAUGAGCUUGGAUCUGAAUUACCAGUCCAGGCUAAAUUCAGACCCCAAUUCGGAUUACCCGUCCAGGCUAAAUCCAUUUUACACAUAUUCUUCUGGAGGGCUAUAUCAGGAUAGGAUCACCCAUCCGGGCUAGAUCCUUUUUACCGUCAAUUCCUUUUCAGAGAUCCAUCGAAUUUUCCUUUCAUUCAACCGGGAUUUCUUCUCCUUUUAUCAAAUAUAUCAAUGUUUCAUAAAUUUUCAUACAAUGAACAUUCAAAUCAUACUCACAUAAAUAACAUACAAUCUCAAGCAUUUAAGAAUAUAAUUCAAGUUACAUGAACUUACCUUGAUACUUGUUUGUAAACAAAAAAAAAUCUACUAAUCUCGAACUUUUUCCUUUCCUCGAUCUAGCUUCGUAUUUGAAUCUUCUGGAUCUAAGUAAAUAAAUUUAAUUAUCAAUUUAAUACAUUUCAUGUUCAUAUGCAACAUUCUCUAUAAUUCAACUAUUAUUUAUAGUUCAUUCAAAGCUGUCUACUUGAGUCAUAGUCACUAAAUUAUUUUUAUCUUGAGAUACAGAACUCAAAAUUAGGAUCCGAUAAUUUUCCCUGAAACUAGACUCAUAUAUAUUCUUACCAUAAAAUUUUCAGAAUUUUUUGUUUAUCCAAUCAGUACAGUUUAUUCUUUAAAGUCACCCCUGUUCUGCUGUCGACAGUUCUGACCCUUCUUCACUAAAAAUUAAUUAUCUCUUCAUAAAGAAUUCAAAUGAUGUUAUCAUUUGUUUCUAUUAAAAAUAGACUCAUUAAGGAUUCUGUACAUAUAAAUUUAAGUCCCUAAUUGUUUUUCUUCAAUUUUUUAUGAAUUUUCAAAGUCAGAAUAGGGGAACCCGAAUUCAUUCUGCCUUGUCUCACAAAAUUUAUUAUAUCUAAAAAUUUACAAAUCCAUUGCUUAUAAUAUUUCUUGUAUGAGAAACUAGACUCAAUAAGCUUUAAUUAAAUAUUUUUUUCAUAUUCUAAUUCGAAUUUAUGGUGAUUUUUCAAAGUUAGUCUACUGCUGCUGUCCAAACUGUUUUUGUGCAAGCUGUUUAUUACCAUUUUUUCCCUAAGCUUUUAAUAAAUGAUAAUUUCGUCCCUACUCAAUUAGCCUCUCAAUUGAACUGAUUUUUCUCAAUUAAUAUUUUAUUCUAUCACCUUAAACUAGUUUACAACCUUUAGGAAUCAGAAUUUCAGCAAUAGACUUUAAUUCCAAGUAUUUUCACAAUUAGGUCCUAAAAAUCAAUUUCUAUUGAAAUUACCUAAUAAAAUCAUCUCAUAAACAAAUUAAAGCUUUAAUUUCAUUCUAUUUCAUCAUAAAAUUACAGAAAUCAACCAUGGUGGCUUUCAAUUUCAUCCAUGAAAUCAAAAACUAAUGAAUUUAAUAGUAUGACCUAGUUGUAAAGGUCUUAGAAACACAAAAAUUACAAGAAAAAGUCAAGGAUUAACUCACUUGGUGCAAAAAUUAUGAAAUACCAGCUUAUAGAACCGUCCUAUGGUGUUUUUAGCUGCUGGAAUUGAAGAGAAAUGAAGAGAAAUCUAGAUAUUUCCUAUUUAGUCCUAGCUUUAUUUAGUUAAUUUUGCAAUAUUCCAAUUUUACCCUUAAUUUAUCAAUUUUUCUGCUGAUUUCAUACCCUUGCCGUCCAGCCCAAAUAACUUUUGGGUCUAAUUCCCUUUUAAAUCCUUUCUCAUUAGACUCUUAAGCUAUUUAAUCAUUCUAGCAACUUUUACACCUAUUACAAUUUAGUCCUUUUCAUUUAAUUGACUACCCAAACAUUAAAAUUUCCUAACGAAAUUUUAGUACCACACUAAUAAAAUUUCAUAAAUAUUUAUAAAAUUAUAUUCGACUCGGUUUUACAAGAUAGAGGUCCCAACAUAUUGUUUUUACCCAAUUUCUUCAAUAAUUUCUUUUUCUAACUAACCACUAAAUCGGUAAAAUUUUUCUAUCAAUAUUUUCAUACGAUUUUCCUAUCAUAUCAAUUUUCGUGCAAAAAUAUUGAAAUAAAUUUCUCUUUAAAUCGGAUUUGUGGUUACGAAACCACUAUUCUAAUAACCUUGAAUUUAGGCCAUUACAAAUGGGACUAGUUGUCCUGAAGCUCACGUCACAAUGUUCUGUCGAAGGAUGACAGGAUAUGUUAAUAAUGACCAACUAUUAAUCCAUUGCUUCCAAGACAGUCUGAUCGAGUCAGCAGCUAAAUGGUAUAAUCAAUUGAGUCGUGCUAAAAUCAAAUCAUGGAAAGACUUAGCACAAGCCUUCAUGAAGCAGUAUAGUCUUGUAACAGACAUGGCACCCGAUAGAAUUACCCUGCAAAAUAUGGAAAAGAAGCAAAAUGAGAGCUUCAGGCAAUAUGCUCAAAGAUGGAGAGAGGUAGCAACACAAGUCCAACCGCUUCUUCUGGAAAAAGAGAUUACGAUGCUUUUCAUCAAUAUUUUGAAGGCCCCAUUCAUUGACUAUAUGUUGGUAAGUGCUACUCUAAGUUUUUCAGAUAUAGUAGUAUCUGGUGAGAUGAUUGAAAGCGCGGCAAGAAAUGGACAGAUAGAUGUGGGAGAGAGCGUUAAACGGUCGACCCUAAUGAUCAAGGAAAAUAAAGUGAACAUCGUGAGCAUGCCUUCUAAAUUGGUCAACAUAGACCUGUUGAGGGUUGUAAUCACUAGUUAUCAAGGGGAAUUGGAAUGACUUAUCCAAAGAGAGGUCCAGGGAAUAAAAGUUUCCAAACCCUUAUGUACUUGGGAGUGUUUUAAACAAUGGGACUAUGGAAGAGAUCCUUGUAUUUUUAGAGUUGAUUUAGAGUAAUAUUCAAAACACGCUUGUUGCUUUAAGCCUAGGGGCAAUAAGAAUCCUUUUGUGAAAUAGGCUUGUGUCCAAAAUUUUUUAUUUCAAUAAAAUGCAUUAUUUUUGAAUAAAUAUUCUUUCAUUCUUUAUAUAUUCUUUUGUUCUUUGGACUAUUUUUUUUACAAUAUGCUUUCAUUCUUCAUUCAUGAUCAUACCAUACAAAUAAUUAUCCUUAGAAUAAUUUAUUUUUUGGAAUUUUCCUUUGUACCUACAAUAGGUCCCCAGAUAUCAAUGACAUGAGCAACGCUGUAACUGACUCCCUUUUGGGGUGAGAUAUGUGUUUAAGCGGAUCUCAGGACUUUGAAGAUGACAGAGAUUGUGAUUUAUUUUUUGAUUUGUUAAGGACGAUAGAAUAAGAUGAAAAGCAGAUCCCACUUUACGAAGGGUCAAUGGACACUGUGAGCAAGGGGCAAAGAUCGAAACCUGAGUCAUCACAAAGACAAAAUAAAUCAUCAUUGCGUUAUUCCAAGAAUUCGAAGAUGUUUUCGCAUGAUCAUGUCGAGAUAUACCUAAGAUAUUAGGAUCUGUGGAUGAUACAAAAUGUCUAUACAAUUCUAGAAGGACACAUGUUAAUGGUAGCCACGCUAAUCAUGAGGUUUGGGUAUUGAUAAUCCACCAUGGAAGGGGAUGGCAUUAGUUAAACUGUAUUUAGGGAGACAAGCCACAUUCAUUUCUUCACAGACUUUCUCUAUAUGGGGCAUGGAUGUUGUCAGGCCAUUCUCGUCUAAUACACAUUGAUUCAUCUUGGCAGUUAUUGAUUACUUCAUGAAGAGGGUGAAGGUUGCUUCAUAUGCCAAUAUUACAAGGUCAACAGUCAUCAAAUUCUAAAAAAAAAAAGGUUGUUGACAAGUAAUGUCAGAAAGGAUCACUUUCAAAUACAACUGCACAAUGUCAAAAGUUUGCAGUCUGUUCAAAGAUCAGACACCAUAUUACCGUGUAAUAAAGGCAUCUAAAAAGAAAAACAAAAGUUCAAAAAUAGAAAAGAAAAGGGAAAGCAGUGAAGCCAUAAAACAAAGGUCAUAGUGAAAGACGACCGAGCCUUGUAAGGAUUGGUAUAAAGAAGUUAUCAUUUACCCUCUACACUUAUCGAACGGGGGCCGGGACCUUCACCGGGGCAACACAUUGAUUUAUAGGACUGAAACAGUUUUUGAAAACGAGAUUUCUUUUCUUCGAGUCUUGGCAGAACUAAAGUUAGAUGAAUCGGAAUGGGUCCAAUCCUGAUAUGAUCAGUCAAAUUUAAAGGAUAUCCGUCAUAGUGAGAUGAUGCGGGUUUAUGACAGAAAGGUUUAUCCUUGAGAAUUCCAUAAGGGGAGCUUGAUAUUGAAGAAGAUCUUUCCUAUACAAAAGGACUUCAAAGGAAGAAAUAUGCCAAGCUAAGAGAGAUCUUAUGUAAAGGAGGCCUAUUUUGGAGGAGCAUUGAUAUUGACCAAAAAGAUUUGCCUAGUUCGGAGUUCAAAAUGCUGUCAAAGAGUAUUCUACCUAAAAUGGGAGAGGCCAAGGUGAAAACCCGCAAAGGUCACCUUGAGAACUUAAAAAAUAAAAAUAAAAAAAGAGAAAGAAAUAAAAAGAGAAAAUAAAAAAGAAAGAAAGAAAGAAUCAAUCAAAAAAAAAAGAAGAAAGAAAAGGAGAGGCCAAGGCGAAAACCCGCAAAGGGCGCUUUGAGACCAAAGGGGAUUUGAGUUGAAAACCCGAAAAAGGGCGGCUCAAAUUUGGAUCAAAAUGGGAUAUACAGUAGUCUUUCCAUACAUGAAUUAACAAUGAAGGAAGUAUGUUAUGUCUUGGGGAAUUGACAAAGUACUCCGGAUCCCCUAAACACAGAUUGAGCUCAGAAUGGUCCUCAAGAAGUUGGUAUAGAGAAGCUCAAGUUGCGAUAUCUGGAGCACCUAGCUUUUUAUUUUUACCCAUUUUUUUACUAUCUUUGAUUACCUGAUUCUUUUCAAGGCACAUCCAAGUAAAUUCCUUUCUUGAUUGCAUUUGCUUAUUUGUUUCGAGCUAUGUUCUCAAUUAAUUCCUUCCUUGUCCAUGGUUAUGAUCUUUUUUCAAGCAUUUUGCAUUGAAAUAACGAUUUCUGGGCUAAUAAUACUUUCAUAAAAGGAGUUUCGCAUAUUACUUUGGGAAGUUUCUAAAUAAUACAGGAGCUUGAAACUAGAUUAUUGUUUAAAACUCACCAAGCUUAAGGGUUGGAAAUAUUUAAGCCCAAAUUGAGAUUAUCUCUUUGGAUUUUCUAUCAAAGAUAUUAAUUGGUGUUAUAAUCCCGGCAAAGAACGAGUAAUGGGGUUAUUCUUGAGAAAAGAAAAAUGAUAUUCUAUAUUCCUACAGAUAUCAGACAUAUACGUCUGCUCAUUACACCCAGAGAAUGGUGUAACAGAUUCAAUUGAUUGAAGAUGAUGCAAAUCCUAUACCUCUGAGUUGCCACAGGAUGGAAGAAAUCAAAUGAUUAUUCCCCUGAGGUUGCAGUGGGAAGUUCAAACUUUAUGUCCCAGAAGUUACAGUGUAAGGGACUCUGAAAUUACAGUGGGGCAAGCUUGCUGAACAGAAUGUGAUUGUUUCUUUGGGUCUUCUGCAAAAAAUACCAGCCAAACAAGAUGGCAGCAUAAUAAAUUAGUGAUAGUGUUCUGAUGAACAACAAGCGAUGAUACCUUAAGCAUUUAAAAAAAAAGAGAUCAUUCAAAAAAAAGAUCAUUUUCAUUCAUAUAUCAUUCAUAACACGUUAGGAGCAUUUGAUUCAUUUCGAUCAUAGCAUCCUAAUUAUUUGACACCAGCAUCACAUCUAAUUAGGAGUAUUUGAUUCAUUUUGAUCAUAGCAUCCUAAUUAUUUGACAUAAGCAUCACAUCUAGUUAGGAGCAUUUGAUUCAUUUCGAUCAUAGCAUCCUAAUUAUUUAACAUCAGCAUCACAUCUAGUUAGGAGUAUUUGAUCGUAGCAUCCUAAUUAUUUGGGCAUAAACAUGAUACAUGAAAUCGAGUCUACAAGACAAGUCCAAGAGGAUGGUGUAGUAACAUCGGUGAAGUCAGACUUAUAUCCCUGAAGUUACAGUAGAGUAGGUUGAAGUGACAAGUCUUAUCUCUCUGAAGUUGCAGUGGAGCAGGCUCAAUAUACAAGUCUUAUCUUCCUAAGGUAGCAAGGAAGCAGAUUGAAGGUUGAAGAUCUUAUCUCCCUAGGAAAUAGUUGGGCAGAUCAAAGAUGGCGAAUCUUAUCUCCAUGUAUCGGCAAUGGAGCAGAUUUUAGCCACCAGCCUUAUCUUUCUGAAGUAGCAAGGGAGCAGGUUGGCGAUUGUAGUCUUAUCUUCUUGAGGUAGCAAGGAAGCAGACUGAAGAUUGAAUAUCUUAUCUCCAUGUACCGGUAAUGGAGCAGAUUUUAGCCAUUGACCUUAUCUCUCUGAGGUAGCAAGAGAGCAGGUUGAAGAUGAUAGUCUUAUCCUCUUGAGGCAGCAAGGAAGCAGACUGAAGAUUGCAGGUCUUAUUUCCCUAAGCAGUAGUGGAAUAAACCAAAGACGACAAAUCUUAUCUCCAUGUACCGGCAAUAGAGUAGAUUUAAGUCCCCAGCCUUAUCUCUCUGAAGUUGCAGUGGGGUAGGCUCGAUAUACAAGUCUCUAUCUCCCUGAGGUUGUAGUGGAGCAGACUGAAGAUUGGAGGCAAAUCUUAUCUUCAUGUAUCGACAAUGGAGCAGAUUUAAGCCCCAAGCCUUAUCUCUCUGAGGUAGCAAGAGAGCAGGUUGAAGAUUGAAGUCUUAUCGUCCUGAGGUAGCAAGGAAGCAGACUGAAUAUUGGAGGCAAAUCUUAUCUCCAUGUAUCGACAAUAGAGCAGAUUUAAGCCUGAAGCCUUAUCUCUCUGAGGUAGCAAGAGAGCAGGUUAAAGAUUGAGUCUUAUCUUUCUGAAGUAGUAAGAAAGCAGACUAAAGAUUGAAGAUCUUAUCUCCCCUAAGCAGUAGUGGAGCAGAUCGAAGAUGGCGAAUCUUAUCUCCAUGUACUGGCAAUGGAGCAGAUUUUAGCCACUAGCCUUAUCUCUCUGAAGUAGCAAGAGAGCAGGUUGGCGAUUUUAGUCUUAUCUUCCUGAGGUACCAAGGAAGUAGACUGAAGACUAAAGAUCUAUUUCCCUAAAGCAGUUGCGGAGCAGAUUGAGAAUAGCAAAUCUUAUCUCCAUGUAUUGGCAAUGGAACAGAUUUAAGUCAAUAGUCCUAUUUCCUUACAGUCAGAAUGCAGCAAAACCAAGCAAAAUUGGCCCUAUUUGAAGUCUUUGCUCUACUCUCAUUACACGACAAUGAGCAAAGAGGGGCAGCUGUAAUGGCUGAUUUUUUGCCGGGGCCCAUACAAAAACCAAAAAACAAAAUAAACCAAAAUUAAAGUCCAAUGUCCAUAAUACCCAAGCCCAAAAUCCAAAAUAACAAGACUCAACAAAAUAUGGCCCAAAUGACCCAAAAAAAACCCCCAAACCCUAGCCUGCUGCCUAGUGCAGACACCAGCAGCUUCCGCCCAGCCUCCAUGCUCCACAACGGCCUCCACGCUCACGAACGGUUUCCCCACGCCAUGCACACCUACAACAAACGAAAACCACAACAGCAAAUGACGGCAAACCGAAUUACAGCAAUCAAAUAGAGGAGAAAAAGGGAAAAAUUGUAAAUAUUAUAUUUCAUUUUUGGCUAUAAAAAGCCAUUGUAAAUAUUGAUUUUGAGGAUACACGGAUUGAAAAAAAAACAAUUAGAAUUGAAAAGGUGAUUCAAGUUUUCAGUUUUUUUUUUUAGUUUUCAGAUUUCGUUUUUUUAAUAUUUUUUCUCUUCUCUUCUUUUCUCUCAUAUUUCACAUGAAGAGAAUAAAGGAAAAGAGUACUUGCCUUUGGCCUUUGAUCGCAUCUCUUUUGCUCAUGGUCGGCCACCAAGUUUGAUGGUGGUUCAGCAGUGACUUUGAGAGCCCUAACAUUAGAGAUUUGAUUUGCUGUUUGCAAAAAUGGCAGUGCCAUUCAGUUUUUUUUCUUUAAUUUUGAUUGCAAAGAAACAACACCGUUUCAA
RNAcentral lists this long non-coding RNA (12952 nucleotides) under Gossypium barbadense (sea-island cotton). RNAcentral describes it as "long non-coding RNA (GBAR_LNC001209)". The record is from RNAcentral. Lineage: Eukaryota; Viridiplantae; Streptophyta; Magnoliopsida; Malvales; Malvaceae.